AUUGAACGCUGGCGGCAGGCCUAACACAUGCAAGUCGAGCGGAUGAGUGGAGCUUGCUCCAUGAUUCAGCGGUGGACGGGUGAGUAAUGCCUAGGAAUCUGCCUGGUAGUGGGGGACAACGUUCCGAAAGGAGCGCUAAUACCGCAUACGUCCUACGGGAGAAAGUGGGGGAUCUUCGGACCUCACGCUAUCAGAUGAGCCUAGGUCGGAUUAGCUAGUAGGUGGGGUAAUGGCUCACCUAGGCGACGAUCCGUAACUGGUCUGAGAGGAUGAUCAGUCACACUGGAACUGAGACACGGUCCAGACUCCUACGGGAGGCAGCAGUGGGGAAUAUUGGACAAUGGGCGAAAGCCUGAUCCAGCCAUGCCGCGUGUGUGAAGAAGGUCUUCGGAUUGUAAAGCACUUUAAGUUGGGAGGAAGGGCAGUAAGUUAAUACCUUGCUGUUUUGACGUUACCAACAGAAUAAGCACCGGCUA
RNAcentral lists this ribosomal RNA (476 nucleotides) under uncultured bacterium. RNAcentral's name for it is "bacterial SSU rRNA". It matches the Rfam family "Bacterial small subunit ribosomal RNA", at positions 30 to 499 of the family's 1533-position model. The record is from RNAcentral.